RNAcentral lists this transfer RNA (71 nucleotides) under Parcubacteria group bacterium. Its description in RNAcentral is "tRNA-Gly". It matches the Rfam family "tRNA". Rfam says of the family: Transfer RNA (tRNA) molecules are approximately 80 nucleotides in length. Their secondary structure includes four short double-helical elements and three loops (D, anti-codon, and T loops). Further hydrogen bonds mediate the characteristic L-shaped molecular structure. tRNAs have two regions of fundamental functional importance: the anti-codon, which is responsible for specific mRNA codon recognition, and the 3' end, to which the tRNAs corresponding amino acid is attached (by aminoacyl-tRNA synthetases). tRNAs cope with the degeneracy of the genetic code in two manners: having more than one tRNA (with a specific anti-codon) for a particular amino acid; and 'wobble' base-pairing, i.e. permitting non-standard base-pairing at the 3rd anti-codon position. The record is from RNAcentral.
GCGGGCGUAGUAUAGCGGCAGUAUGUGACCCUUCCAAGGUCAAGGCGUGGGUUCGAUUCCCAUCGCCCGCU